CCUUCGGGAGGCAGCAGUGGGGGAUAUUGCACAAUGGGGGAAACCCUGCUGCCGCGACGCCGCGUGAGUGAAGAAGUAUUUCGGUAUGUAAAGCUCUAUCAGCAGGGACGAACAUGACAGUACCUGACCAAGAAGCCCCUGCUACCUACGUGCCAGCAGCCGCGGUAAUACGUAGGGGGCAAGCGUUAUCCGGUGUUACUGGGUGUAAAGGGAGCGUAGUCGGUUAUUUAAGUCUGGAGGGAACACCCGGGGCCCAACCCCGGUACUGCUUUGGAAAAUGUGUAACUGGAGUACAGGAGGGGCAGGCGGAAUUCCUGGGGUAGCGGUGAAAGGCGUAGAUAUCAGGAGGAACACCGGCGGCGAAGGCGGCCUGCUGGACUGAAACUGACGUUGAGGCUCGAAAGCGUGGGGAGCAAACAGGAUUAGAUACCCGUGUAGUC
RNAcentral lists this ribosomal RNA (440 nucleotides) under uncultured bacterium. Its description in RNAcentral is "partial 16S ribosomal RNA". It matches the Rfam family "Bacterial small subunit ribosomal RNA", at positions 338 to 795 of the family's 1533-position model. The record is from RNAcentral.